GGCAGUGCUGGAGCUAAUGAGCAUUGUAGGGCAUUGCUGGCUGUUCAGCUCCUGCCGAUUAGAAAAAUGAGAGUGGAACAUGAGUCAAGGGAAAACACAGAGAGAGAGCGUCAGACGGUCAUGGAGAGGGCCAAACAACCGGGAGUGCUGGUCUUGUGUUCGUCCCAAACUUGGGAAGAGGACAUUUCAUCCAGAGGCUCUACCCAGAGCUCCAACAAUAACACCUCCUAGCUGAAAGGAAAUUCCUCAGCCUCCUCUGCUCUCUGCUGGAACAUGCAGCUCCUUUUCUCCUGUGUGGAUAAUGAGGUCAUUUCGCAUUAUGAUAUUUUUCUUUUCUUUUCAGUCAUUUCAGUAAGGUAUAAUUUAGCUCUUGCCUGUGUGGUAGGAAGAACAAAAGGUGGUCAAUGAGUUUAGAUUUUCAUCUAAAAGUCUACAUAUAAAACAAUAAAUAAAACAAACUAAAUAAUGAAGGUCCUUCAUGUCGGUGGAAGUGCACAGAAAGGACAUGAUAAGCUGUGGAACAGAGUGGGUUGUACUGGUGAACUAAGCCCUGCCAAAACCAACUCUGUGCCAUGCUCCGAGACAAUCUGGUUGUAGCAGCAACCAUGCUGACCUUGAGUAGAAGUGACAGUGUGUCUGAGAGGCAUGUUACAAGUCAGAGAAAAUUGGAAGUAAACAGAUAAAAAGAAUGCAAUCUCUGCUGGAAGUAGCAAGGCACAGGGGGCAGGAAAUAAACCUGUAUUUAAGCUGAUUACCCGAGCAGAGUCCCAGCCCCUUUCAGCAGCUCCGAACCGGCCUCAGCGUUGCCAGUGUUGUUAAUUAGAGGUUUGCUAAGGGGAAAAAAGGCAGCCUUGUCAGACUUGCAGCAGUGUUAGUGAUGGCUGGCUGGAGGGGGACAUGCAGAGCUCUUAAUUGGGUCUGUAUGCUGUAUCGGUGGCUGGCUGGAGCGCUGGUGAUGAUUGCUGUGAGCAGGUGGCCGUGGUGGCAGCUCUGCACAGGCCAUCCCGGGCCAGCCUGUCUGUUCUUGUCAGAACCUGGAACACUGAGCAGACGGCCCCUCCACAACACCUCCCUGGCAACACAAUGUAACCCGCAGUCAUGGAGCACUACUUCCUGACAGUCCAGCCCAGGGAAAGAGGAGGAACACUUUAAACCCAAAUGCAUUAAAUCCCAAUCAUCUUUGCAUGUCAAAAACACAAACCAUAAACAAAAUACAUAAAUCAGAAAUGGAUCUCCAGACUGUGCAAUCUGCAGAAGCACUCUAAUGUAUGAACACUUUUUGUUUUACAUGAACAUUUUAAUUAUAAGACUUGAUACAAAUUAAAGUGAAUCA
This is a long non-coding RNA of Girardinichthys multiradiatus, 1333 nucleotides long. RefSeq lists it as uncharacterized. The transcript is spliced from 3 exons. The record is from RefSeq and is a predicted model, not a curated record. NCBI's taxonomy places the organism in Eukaryota, Metazoa, Chordata, Actinopteri, Cyprinodontiformes, Goodeidae.